Molecule: ribosomal RNA, 254 nt
Filed under: uncultured bacterium
Lineage: Bacteria
Description: partial 16S ribosomal RNA
Rfam family: Bacterial small subunit ribosomal RNA
Source: RNAcentral
GACAGAGGAUGCAAACGUUUGCUCGGAAUUACUGGGCGUAAAGCGCACGUAGGCGGAUACUUAAGUUAGGGGUGAAAUCCCAGAGCUCAACUCUGGAACUGCCUUUAAUACUGGGUAUCUCGAGUCCGGAAGAGGUGAGUGGAAUUCCGAGUGUAGAGGUGAAAUUCGUAGAUAUUCGGAGGAACACCAGUGGCGAAGGCGGCUCACUGGUCCGGUACUGACGCUGAGGUGCGAAAGCGUGGGGAGCAAACAGG